GAUGAACGCUGACAGAAUGCUUAACACAUGCAAGUCUUUGGCGAAGCUGUGCUCGCACAGCCUAGCCAAGGCGGACGGGUGAGUAACGCGUAAGGAACUUGCCCUGCAGUCAGGGAUAACAGACGGAAACGACUGAUAAGACCUGGUAAAGUCAGGCGGACUCAUGUCCAGCCUGAUGAAAAGAGAUGCUGCAGGAGAGCCUUGCGUCCUAUUAGCUUGUUGGUGGGGUAACGGCCCACCAAGGCGAUGAUAGGUAGCCGGCCUGAGAGGGAGGACGGCCACAAGGGGACUGAGAUACGGCCCUUACUCCUACGGGAGGCAGCAGUGGGGAAUAUUGGACAAUGGGGGCAACCCUGAUCCAGCAAUUCUGCGUGCACGAUGAAGGUUUUCGGAUUGUAAAGUGCUUUCAGCAGGGAAGAAAAAAAUGACGGUACCUGCAGAAGAAGCGACGGCUAAAUACGUG
This 463-nucleotide ribosomal RNA is filed under the name uncultured bacterium. RNAcentral describes it as "partial 16S ribosomal RNA". It matches the Rfam family "Bacterial small subunit ribosomal RNA", at positions 28 to 507 of the family's 1533-position model. The record is from RNAcentral.